Molecule: long non-coding RNA, 5442 nt
Organism: Cavia porcellus (domestic guinea pig)
Lineage: Eukaryota; Metazoa; Chordata; Mammalia; Rodentia; Caviidae
Exons: 4
Source: RefSeq, a predicted model, not a curated record
GUGUUGAGGGCUGGGCUUAAGGUGGUCUGCAUCCAUCCCCAAGGGACCUGUUGUGGUGGCAGACUCAAGCACUGCUUGAGUAUUCCCAGAAAGCGCUGUUUCAGUUGAUGGACAAAGGAAGAGUUGCUUUCCCAGUGUGAGUGGCCAUUGUCUUAGCCUCCAAGGAUACCGAGGAGAAACAGCAAAGGAGAGUGUCACACAGCAGAGGACUGAAGUGGAGAGAAGCUGCUUCUGAGACAGGGUCUUAUUCAGACAGGAAUAAGGGAGGAACACUGGAGGGAGCUGCAGAGCAGGAGCAGCUGCAUGCUUCCGUCUUUAAUUAUUCCAAAACCUGCCCUUUAGAGCCUAUAGGAGCCACCAGGGAAACUGUUAUGCCAGCUACUGAAGUGCAAACAAAGCAAAACAAAACAAAAACAAGACAACUAACCAGCCAACCAGAACCUCUUUCUAAUAUGAAGAUAACCAAAUGUUUGUCAGCACUGGGCAAUCCCCGAGACGUCGCGAUUUGGGCAAGGCAUCUAAAGUCAUGGUGAAGGCCUUCGUGGACUCCUGCUCUGCAAGCAGGGCCUGCAGAGUCCUUUGGUAUCUGCUCAUUACUUGAUGAAGAACUACCAGCAGGCAGCCGGGAUCCACCAAGCUGUCCUCUUACUGGAUGCUGCCCGAGGUCUGCUCGGGUCCAAAUAAAAAGCUAUGGAGAGUGAACACUUGGGCAGCAGCCUGCGGGUCGCUGCCAGGGACGCUGUUCUGCUUUGUCUCCCGUUGCUGGAUACUGUUUCAGCAAGGUGAAAGUGCUGGAGCUGCAAAUGGCCUCGCUGAGCAUGAUUACCAGAGCCACAGAUGGGUUCCAGAAGCUUGCUCAAGCUCAUAUGCAGAAGCAAAUGGAAAUCCAGACAAUGACAUCCAUAGUCUUACCAAGAUGUAUUCCAGAAUCAUUUGAUUUUCUGACUAUAAAAGAAAUCUUAUACCUUGGAGAAAAUGUAGAUGAUAGAGAAGAAAAUAAAAUACCUGGAGAAUAGACAAAGGGAAGCAUGGGGGGGGGUGAUCAGACAGCACGAGAGGAGGCAGCAAGCUCUCCUCUGCAGCCUGCACGGUGACUCUGACCUCAGAGGGCUGCAGCUGCUGACUGAGCUCACGGAAGUUAUUUAUCAUCAUCUAGCAAUUGGAAUGAUGACACACUCACCUCUGAGACUCUAAGAGGACCCAUCGGUCAGUAGACUCAUGUUAAUGACUGGAAUUAUAGCUUAGCCCUGGGAAUCACUCUGUAGAUAUCAGCUGCUUUGGUAGCCACCAGGCAUGGUGUCCUGGGAACAGGGUGGGUUGUGUUGUGUCAGAUACCAGGCUCUUCUGAGGGGCAUGCAUUGGUGCAGUAUUUCCAGAAGGAGACUGGUUUUGUGAUUUCUGUCUAUAUUCCUGCAUAGAUCUUCUUAUUCCACUUCUUUAGCCCCUAUUAUAAAUAUUUCUAAACUUGUCAUUGCCAGGCAUAAUGCUAGGUAUCAGGAGUAGAGGAGUGAACACCCCAGAUAAACCCUUGCUCUGGGAAUAUCUAGUGCACAUUUCUUAGAUGGAGUCCAUGCACGUUUUCUGGUUCUGCAUCUUUCUGCACGUGCUCUGUAGAAUAUGAUUUUCUCUUAUUUAAGUCACCUUUCCAGUCCUUAACCCCAGUCAGAAUUCCACUUCUGUCACCAAAUCAUCCUUGACUCCUUGGAACUAAAGUGGAUCUAUUUACUGGGCACAUGCUUCAUCACAAGUACUAACAUUGCUCUUCUGGAGUGUCUGAAGCCCUCAUUCUUCACUUCUCUGCUGACGCUUACAAUGUCUACCUUGAUUCUGGUUAUUUAUGUUCCCGAUCCUGCUCUCCUACAAAACACAGCUCUUUGCAAUUAAGAUCUCGGAUUCAUCUGUCUUUGUCUCCCUUGCCCUACCAAGCACAAGGCCAUGUGCCUAAAUGAUAUUUAAUUGCUGGUUUUUGAAUAAAAUAAUGAAGGAAGGAGCUGGCCAUGAUGAAUGAUGUCUUAGAUGGGAACAUGUGAGACACUAACCAGUUGACAGAAGAAACAAAGCUCCCUCCUUAGCCCCAAUGGGUUUGAGUCCUUUUCAGGGAGGAUUGUGGAUAGGGCAGAGCUGGAGCAACUGCUGGUUGUUUCCUUGGGCUCUUUAUUUCUAAUGGCACUCCAGGGGGCAGGGACAAAAUGAAAGCUAUUAAUGCCCAAAGGCUGCUCAUUCUGCCCCCAUUCCUCAGGACCUCAGGUGCUGUUUAUUUCCUACAGAUGCUGUAACAAAUUACCCUGAGCUUGCUCACUGAAAACAGCAUCAGUUUAUUGUCUUGCAGUUGUGAUGUCAGAAGUCCAAGAUGACUUUCGCAGGCCUCAAAUGCAGCUAUUGACAAGGGUAUGUCCCACCUGGCUGGUCCAGGCCCCCCUCUCCUUCCAGCACCUCAUGUACUCCUCAGCUCUGGCCCUUCGCCCCACAUCUGUUUCUGGCCCCUCAUCCUCUUUUGAGUCUGUCCUCUCUGUCUCUCUCUAUAAAGGGCCCCUGCAAUGCUGGGGGUCCAUCCAACUAAGUGCUGUGUCUAGUGCAGCUCUUGAGAAUCUCUAGGGCAGAGGAUGGUAAAGGAAUGAAGGCAGGAGUGAAAACGUGGAAAGCUGAGGUCAGGCAGAGCUGCUCUCCUGGUGGGAGGGAAAGAACCAUCCAGUGACUGCAGCACAUUUAUUCACACACUCAGCGGGUUGGUGUCAGGCAAGACCCCUCUGCCUAGCAACUCGCUGGCCCAGCUCACCUCGGUGCCCCUGUUCUCGGGCUGGAUGAACGUGUUCACCAGGCUUGCCUCAGGCACACUGUGUUCUUGGGGCUGACCUUGCUCUAGCCCCAUGUGUGUGAUCAACCUUCAACUUCAGCUGCUCCCCACACCUCAGUCAGGGUCAUCUCCUCCUCUCUGGGUCCUUCACUUUAUCACCUUGGCCAAAUCCCUUUUGCUAUGUGAGAUAAUAUGGUCCCGGGUUGUGGGGAUGGACUCAACUGUCACAUCUUUGGUCUCUAGGCCUCCAAACAAGGCUGGGGUUGGAGGAUGGCAGGUGUGUCUGUGGUUGAUUCCCUCAGGGCCUGAAGUGUCCUGAGUUGCUAUCUUGGCAUCAUGAUCUGGACUGGUCAUUCUUUCUCUGACUUCCACUGUAUGGACAGCACCCUUGCCCUUGGGGGUCUCCUUCCUGCAGUACACAUGAUCCUCACGUUCAGUCUGUUUUCUACAGUUUUAUUCUUACAGUGUUGAAUAAUAGGAAAAUAGAGACAGUGUUUUUUUCUUCUCCCCAUACAGUUCUUAUCUUGAAAAAUUAUAUUUAUUGUGUGUAUGCAGAUACUUGCUCAGCACCAGGUAGUGAUAACACUGCCUUCAUUUUUAACAAUUAAACAUCUUCAAAGUCAGCUUCCAAGACCGAUCACACUCCUCUUCAGUGAGUGACUAUCCUUAGUCUGCCUCAUUAGACAAAUUGAUCAUGGCCCUCUUACAGUCACUCUAAUAACCAAGACUUGUCUUGUGAUGCGGGCGGUCAGUAAUCUUACCUACAAGCAUUUCCUGCAUGCACGCUAGGGAUGGCACAAGAAAUGAUCCAGAGAUGCAAUAUGAAAUAGUUUGACAAAUAGGAAAACUGUCCCCUUCUUCAUGUUGGAGAGAAAAUUGUGGUGUCUAGAGGAAUCGACUGAAAGAAAAGUAGACAGUGUCUGGGCACAGUACUCUGUGGGCACAGACGGUGUUCCUGUUUAAGCUUUCCUGUCGAAAAUAUGGAAAUGGGAUUAUGAUGGACCUCUGUCCAUUUGUAGCCUGGAAUAGUCUUGCAAGCCUAGGGGAAAACAGUAAAGAAAAAGAGAAUUAUGAUAACUGUUGUUAGCAUGCUGUGUGUUCCAUAGAAAGUUUUGACUUUGUUACUCUUUAGAAGUGAAACUUACCCAGUGUGGUGGGGCUUUAAUAUCUGUGAAUUAAAAAAUAAUUUGUAAUAUUAAAUUCAAUCCAGAUUAUUUAAACUUACUAGACAAAAUAUAUAAAUCUAAAGUGAUAUCCUGAUGGAAACAAAGCAGCACAAACUAUACUUUUAGAAAUCAUGAGAGACUGCUUUUUAGCUCUCUGUACUUUCUUUAACCUUGAGAAACACAUUAUAUUAAAGAAUGUGUUUGUUUCUUUGGCAGAGUGUAGAACAAAGCUGUCUAAAAUACUUUCAACGACCUUCUCUGUAAAUGCAGAAUAAUCGUACAAAUGUUGGCUUUUAGUUUGCUCCCAGGGAGACUUUUAGCUUGUAGUGGGAAACAGAGUUCUGUAUCUGUUUGAUUUCCUGUCUGCAGGGGCUUGCAGUGGACAGGUGGCUUGGAAGCUGGCUGUGUCCAGGCAGAGCUCUGUCUCUGUGGCUCCUCACUGUGGUUAGGCAUGGAUUUGCAGGGCAGACCUGGCCCAUGCAAUCUACACAGGGGUGGCCCCUUGGGGCAGGAAGUCAUCCUGCAGUGGGGAGUGGUGCUGUACCACAGUUGCACGUUCCUCACUGUGGCUGAGGGCCUGGCACCCAUGCCUGACUUCUGCCCCUUCCUUCCUCUGGGCAGCUCCUCUCAGCUGGCUGGAGUCCUCCCUGAGGUCUUCAGUGUCACUUUGACAAGACCCAUCUGCUCUCCAUGGGCACCCACCUCUCCUGGGCAGCAGGGUAGUCCUAGGUGUGCACAUGUGUGCCCCUGUACAGCUCCAGGUCCAGGGCACCAAGAAGCCUAGAAAAGAAGGAUACCUUUCCACUUAUAGAGUUGUGAUUAAAAUGUGUUGAAAGAAAUUUAAUAAGGACAAGAAAAAUGGUUGCCAACUAAAAUUCCCAGUCCAUCACUGGGUAUUUUUUCUGAUGACUUCUAGGGCUGGAAGGUACAUGCGCAGCUCUUACUCUAUAAGAAGGAGUGGAGUUUGGGUCAACAGGAUUGCACUUCUAGGGAGUAAGAGCAGAGACUUGGAAGGCUCUGGAGGGCUCAGUGGUCUACACAUCUGUGACUGUACUUGCUGCUCUGCAGUGCACACUUACUUGUUGGGAUAGAUUUCCUCAGUUACUGGGACUUUAGGGCAGCUGUGGUGAACCUGUGGCACAUGUGGUGAACCUAUGGCACAUGGCCAUUUGUUACCACUGAAAGCUCUAAAAGGUUCCCCUUCAUGGUUGUGGGGGAUGGUGUUCUGCUCUAACCUGACUUCCUUGAUCUGUGCCUGUGCUGUGUGGUUUUCCUUGGGUGUGACUUCAGUAGCAUGAGCAAUGUCGCCAUCUACUGCAGUCAGCAGGGAUCCUGCAUGCAGAAGUGAGUCCCCACCAACACCCUGAGGUGAGCGUGUGGGAACUCCGGCCUGCCACUUCUUCCUGUGGGGCCAAGCUGGCCUCCCAGGGCCUCUGCUGAGCAGCCACCUAUGGGUGGCUCCACUCUCCUCAUCCUGCUCCC